This 248-nucleotide ribosomal RNA is filed under the name uncultured crenarchaeote. RNAcentral's name for it is "partial 16S ribosomal RNA". It matches the Rfam family "Archaeal small subunit ribosomal RNA", at positions 478 to 726 of the family's 1478-position model. Lineage: Archaea; Thermoproteati; Thermoproteota. The record is from RNAcentral.
AGCUCUCCGAGUGGUGUGGACGUUUAUUGGGCCUAAAGCAUCCGUAGCUGGCUGAACAAGUCCCCUGUUAAACCCAACGAUUUAAUCGUUGGUCUGCGGGGGAUACUGCUCGGCUAGGGGACGAGAGAGGCAGACGGUAUUUCCGGGGUAGGGGUGAAAUCCUAUAAUCCCGGGAGGACCACCAGUGGCGAAGGCUGUCUGCUAGAACGCGCCCGACGGUGAGGGAUGAAAGCUGGGGGAGCGAACCG